CAGAGUCUCAAUCCAGGAAGGCAGCAGGCGCGUAAAUUACCCAAUCCUGACACGGGGAGGUAGUGACAAGAAAUAACAAUACGGGGCAUCUAUAUGUCUUGUAAUUGGAAUGAGUACAAUCUAAAUCCCUUAACGAGGAUCAAUUGGAGGGCAAGUCUGGUGCCAGCAGCCGCGGUAAUUCCAGCUCCAAUAGCGUAUAUUAAUGUUGUUGCAGUUAAAAAGCUCGUAGUUGGAUUUCUGUGGGAGCGGGUCCGCCCCUCACGGGGUGUGAUGUGCGUCUUUGCAUCCUUGGCAGAGCUUUCGGCAUUAAUUGUGCGGUCGGGAUGCCAUCUUUACUGUGAAAAAAUUAGAGUGUUUAAAGCAGGCGUUUGCUGUGAAUACAUUAGCAUGGAAUAAUAAGAUAGGACUUUGGUACUAUUUUGUUGGUUUGUAUACCGAGGUAAUGAUUAAUAGGGACAGUUGGGGGUAUUCGUAUUUAAUUGUCAGAGGUGAAAUUCUUGGAUUUAUGAGAGACGAACUACUGCGAAAGCAUUUACCAAGGAUGUUUCAUUAAUCAAGAACGAAAGUUAGGGGAUCGAAGAUGAUUAGAUACCAUCGUAGUCUUAACCAUAAACUAUGCCGACUCGGGAUUGGCGCGUUAAUUAUGGCUUGGCCCUUAGAAUAAGUUUUGGUCGGGGGGUUGCAAGCAACUUAAGAAUUGGGGAGGCCACCAAGGGUUGCGUUAUUAUUAGGAAAAUCAGGUUCAGGCAAUAAGGUGAGUAAUUUUGGGGGCUUGGUUGUAUCUAACCAAGCUUAAGACUUCUUAGAGGGACAUUUCGGUUUUACCGGAAGGAAGUUUGAGGCAAUACAUGCCA
RNAcentral lists this ribosomal RNA (854 nucleotides) under uncultured stramenopile. RNAcentral's name for it is "bacterial SSU rRNA". The stretch from base 1 to 684 matches the Rfam family "Eukaryotic small subunit ribosomal RNA", at positions 404 to 1116 of the family's 1831-position model. The record is from RNAcentral.